GAUGAACGCUGGCGGCGUGCUUAAUACAUGCAAGUCGAGCGAACAGACGAGGAGCUUGCUCCUUUCACGUUAGCGGAGGACGGGUGAGUAACACGUGGAUAACCCACCUAUAAGACUGGUAAAAUCUCGGGACAGCGGCGCUAAUACCGGAUAAUCUACUGCACCGCAUGGUUCAAUAGUGAAAGACGGCUUUGCUGUCACUUCUCGCUGCUUCUGCGCCGCAUUGGCUAGUUGGUACGGUAACGGCUUAUCACGGCAACGAUGCGUAGCCGACGUGAUAGGGUGAUCGGCCGCACGGGAGCUGGGACGCGGUCCAGACGCCUGCGGGAGGCAGCAGUAGGGAAUCUGCCGCAGUAGGCGAAAACCUGACGGAGCGACGCCGCGUGAGUGAUGAAAGUCUUCGGAUCGUAAUGCUCUGUUAUUAGGGAAAAACAAAUGUGUAAGUAACUGUGCACGUCUUGACGGUACCUGAUCAGAAAGCCACGGCUAACUACGUG
This 497-nucleotide ribosomal RNA is filed under the name uncultured bacterium. RNAcentral's name for it is "partial 16S ribosomal RNA". It matches the Rfam family "Bacterial small subunit ribosomal RNA", at positions 28 to 507 of the family's 1533-position model. The record is from RNAcentral.